AACCAGAGUGUGCACAGUGUGUCAGAUGAACAUAUGAGACACUUUGACUCUUCAGUGCAGUGUGGAGCCUAACAAAGAUCUGUUUUGUGUCCCAGCUGAUCAGCAGGAGGAGAGAGAGUCUGACGGAGCAGCAGAGGAACAUUUUCAGCCUUGGACUCAGCUGAGCUCACUACAGAGAAACGAUGAGCUCAACACAGAAGGACCAACAUGGACCGAGAAGUCAGCGCUCUCAGGAGGCCGACAAACCUCACAGAAGAAAGAGAGAGAAAAAAUACAGCUGUGACGAGUGUGGGAAGGAUUUUUCUCGCAAAGCUUCACUAACAAUGCAUCAAGUCAUCCACACUGGAGAGAGACCGUUCAGCUGUGGAAAGUCUUUUCCCUGGGAUAGUUGCCUAAGAAAACACCAACUCGUCCACAGUGGAGUGAAAGCGUACAGCUGUGAUCAGUGUGACAGAGCUUUUGAUCGCAGUUGCAGCUUACAGAGGCAACUCUGGAACUAAGACAUAUAGCUGUGACAUUUGUGGAAAAACUUGGCGAGACAGCCGAAAUAGACACCUACGCAUUCACACCAGACAUGUUGUGUACUGGUGUGAUCAGUGUGGCAAACAGUUUAUAACAGAUGUACAGUUACAAAGCCACAUGUUUACCCAUGCUGAGGAGAAACCUUAUAAAUGUGACCUGUGUGAGAAGACUUUUAAAGCUCCACGUUACCUGAGACGACACCAACAGAUCCACACCAGAAAGAGACUCUACAAGUGCAGUUACUGUGACAAGCAGAGCGGUGCAGAUGGGUCCAGUUCUCAACCCUGUCAUCGCUGUGGUGGUGGGAAAACUUUUGUUGUGACCUUUGUGGAAAAUCUUUCAGUCAUGCAAAGAGCCUAAAAAUACAUCAACGUAGACACACUGGAGACAAACUGAAAUACUGCAAAGAAUGUAGGAGAAGCUUCACCAGAUCACAUGAGUUAAAACACCAUGAAGUCAUUCACAGUGGGGUUAAAAAGCACCUCUGUGAUCAGUGUGGGUCAUCGUUCACCACUGCAGGUGAGCUUAAAACACAAAAGAGUCCACACAGGAGAGAAACCAUACAAGUGCACACACGGUCACACACACACUGCUGUGACCGGUGUGACAAGACUUUCAGGAAUCUCAGUUCAUACUCCGAACACAAACGAUCCCACACUGCAGAUAAACUGUUUCACUGCUACAAUUGUGCAAAAACGUUCACUUCACUAUCUGUUCUGUGCAAACAUCAGCGUGAUCACGGUGAAUCUGGUGUCAGGGUCAGACUUAAAACUGUUGAGAUCAGGCUCCACAGAGUUCAGCUGGAACCGCAUGUUAAGAACUGAUGAGGCUGCUGUAAAUAUAAAUGUUCCUGCAGUUACAUCUUAAGCUUUCUAAACUCUUCUACUUUGCUCUUAUCGAGUGGUUAGCUUUUUUUUUUUUUUGUUGGAAGAAGA
Haplochromis burtoni (Burton's mouthbrooder) is the source of this 1457-nucleotide long non-coding RNA. RefSeq lists it as uncharacterized. Lineage: Eukaryota; Metazoa; Chordata; Actinopteri; Cichliformes; Cichlidae. The record is from RefSeq and is a predicted model, not a curated record. The transcript is spliced from 3 exons.